GGCGUUAAGUUGCAGGGUAUAGACCCGAAACCCGGUGAUCUAGCCAUGGGCAGGUUGAAGGUUGGGUAACACUAACUGGAGGACCGAACCGACUAAUGUUGAAAAAUUAGCGGAUGACCUGUGGCUGGGGGUGAAAGGCCAAUCAAACCGGGAGAUAGCUGGUUCUCCCCGAAAGCUAUUUAGGUAGCGCCUCGUGAAUUCAUCUCCGGGGGUAGAGCACUGUUUCGGCUAGGGGGCCAUCCCGGCUUACCAACCCGAUGCAAACUGCGAAUACCGGAGAAUGUUAUCACGGGAGACACACGGCGGGUGCUAACGUCCGUCGUGAAGAGGGAAACAACCCAGACCGCCAGCUAAGGUCCCAAAGUCAUGGUUAAGUGGGAAACGAUGUGGGAAGGCCCAGACAGCCAGGAUGUUGGCUUAGAAGCAGCCAUCAUUUAAAGAAAGCGUAAUAGCUCACUGGUCGAGUCGGCCUGCGCGGAAGAUGUAACGGGGCUAAACCAUGCACCGAAGCUGCGGCAGCGAACGUAUCACUUAAAGCGAUUCAGCGGGUUACGAUUGACGGAGCGAAGCGACGUCAAAGCGUAUACAAAGUCGAGUCGGUUUAAGGAUACGUUCGUUGGGUAGGGGAGCGUUCUGUAAGCCUGUGAAGGUGUGUCGUGAGGCAUGCUGGAGGUAUCAGAAGUGCGAAUGCUGACAUAAGUAACGAUAAAGCGGGUGAAAAGCCCGCUCGCCGGAAGACCAAGGGUUCCUGUCCAACGUUAAUCGGGGCAGGGUGAGUCGACCCCUAAGGCGAGGCCGAAAGGCGUAGUCGAUGGGAAACGGGUUAAUAUUCCCGUACUUGGUGUUACUGCGAAGGGGGGACGGAGAAGGCUAUGUUGGCCGGGCGACGGUUGUCCCGGUUUAAGCGUGUAGGUGUGUGUUCCAGGUAAAUCCGGUU
This 937-nucleotide ribosomal RNA is filed under the name Salmonella enterica subsp. enterica. RNAcentral describes it as "partial 23S ribosomal RNA". It matches the Rfam family "Bacterial large subunit ribosomal RNA", at positions 691 to 1547 of the family's 2925-position model. Lineage: Bacteria; Pseudomonadati; Pseudomonadota; Gammaproteobacteria; Enterobacterales; Enterobacteriaceae. The record is from RNAcentral. RNAcentral also lists the same sequence under 1 other name.